AAAAGAAUUAGUUAAAUCAUAACAUUAGAAUGUCAAACUAAAAUUAUUAUUUAUUUAUAAUAUUCUUUA
Molecule: transfer RNA, 69 nt
Filed under: Peltodytes quadratus
Lineage: Eukaryota; Metazoa; Arthropoda; Insecta; Coleoptera; Haliplidae
Description: tRNA-Asp
Source: RNAcentral